UACGGGGCGCUGCAGUCGCGAAACCUUGCAAUACACGAAAGUGUGACAGGGUCAUCCCGAGUGCCGACCGCUGAGGUUGGCUUUUACCCAGUCUAGAAAGCUGGGGGAAUAAGGAGAGGGCAAGUCUGGUGUCAGCCGCCGCGGUAAUACCAGCUCUCCGAGUGGUGUGGACGUUUAUUGGGCCUAAAGCAUCCGUAGCUGGCUGAACAAGUCCCCUGUUAAACCCACCGAUUUAAUCGUUGGUCUGCGGGGGAUACUGCUCGGCUAGGGGACGAGAGAGGCAGACGGUAUUCCCGGGGUAGGGGUGAAAUCCUAUAAUCCCGAGAAGACCACCAGUGGCGAAGGCUGUCUGCUCGAACGCGCCCGACGGUGAGGGAUGAAAGCUGGGGGAGCGGACCGGAUUAGAUACCCGGGUAGUCCCAGCUGUAAACGAUGCAGACUAGGUGUUUGGACGGCCACGUGCCGUUCUAGUGCCGCAGGGAAGCUGUUAAGUCUGCCGCCUGGGGAGUACGAUCGCAAGAUUAAACUAAAGGAAUUGGCGGGGGAGCAC
Molecule: ribosomal RNA, 550 nt
Filed under: uncultured archaeon
Lineage: Archaea
Description: bacterial SSU rRNA
Rfam family: Archaeal small subunit ribosomal RNA
Source: RNAcentral